RNAcentral lists this ribosomal RNA (468 nucleotides) under uncultured bacterium. Its description in RNAcentral is "partial 16S ribosomal RNA". It matches the Rfam family "Bacterial small subunit ribosomal RNA", at positions 28 to 507 of the family's 1533-position model. The record is from RNAcentral.
GACGAACGCUGGCGGCGUGCUUAACACAUGCAAGUCGAACGGAAAGACCCUGCUUUUGUGGGGUGCUCGAGUGGCGAACGGGUGAGUAACACGUGAGUAACCUGCCCUUGACUUUGGGAUAACUUCAGGAAACUGGGGCUAAUACCGGAUAGGAGCUCCUGCUGCAUGGUGGGGGUUGGAAAGUUUCGGCGGUUGGGGAUGGACUCGCGGCUUAUCAGCUUGUUGGUGGGGUAGUGGCUUACCAAGGCUUUGACGGGUAGCCGGCCUGAGAGGGUGACCGGCCACAUUGGGACUGAGAUACGGCCCAGACUCCUACGGGAGGCAGCAGUGGGGAAUAUUGCACAAUGGGCGGAAGCCUGAUGCAGCAACGCCGCGUGCGGGAUGACGGCCUUCGGGUUGUAAACCGCUUUCGCCUGUGACGACGCGUGAGUGACGGUAAUGGGUAAAGAAGCACCGGCUAACUACGUG